Molecule: ribosomal RNA, 497 nt
Filed under: uncultured bacterium
Lineage: Bacteria
Description: partial 16S ribosomal RNA
Rfam family: Bacterial small subunit ribosomal RNA
Source: RNAcentral
GACGAACGCUGGCGGCGUGCCUAAUACAUGCAAGUUGAGCGCUGAAGGUUGGUACUUGUACCAACUGGAUGAGCAGCGAACGGGUGAGUAACGCGUGGGGAAUCUGCCUUUGAGCGGGGGACAACAUUUGGAAACGAAUGCUAAUACCGCAUAAAAACUUUAACCACAUGUUUCAAUUUUGAAAGAUGCAUUUGCUUACCCCAAGAUUGUUCUCCCGUUGUAUUGGCUUAUUGGGGAAGUAAAGGCCCACCAAGGGAAUAUUCCAUGCACGACCUGAGGGGGUGGACGGCCACAACGGGACUGGGACACGGCCCAAACUCCUACGGGAGGCAGCAGGAGGGAAGCUUCGGCAAUUGACGAAAGUCUUACCGAGCAACGCCGCGUGAGUGAAGAAGGGUUUCGGAUCGUAAAACUCGGGUGGUAGAGAAGAACGUUGGUGAGAGUGGAAAGCUCAUCAAGUGACGGUAACUACCCAGAAAGGGACGGCUAACUACGUG